UGGGGAAUCUUGGACAAUGGGGGCAACCCUGAUCCAGCCAUGCCGCGUGAGUGAUGAAGGCCUUAGGGUCGUAAAGCUCUUUCGCCUGUGAAGAUAAUGACGGUAGCAGGUAAAGAAACCCCGGCUAACUCCGUGCCAGCAGCCGCGGUAAUACGGAGGGGGUUAGCGUUGUUCGGAAUUACUGGGCGUAAAGCGCACGUAGGCGGACCAGAAAGUUGGGGGUGAAAUCCCGGGGGCUCAACCCCGGAACUGCCUCCAAAACUAUUGGUCUAGAGUUCGAGAGAGGUGAGUGGAAUUCCAAGUGUAGAGGUGAAAUUCGUAGAUAUUUGGAGGAACACCAGUGGCGAAGGCGGCUCACUGGCUCGAUACUGACGCUGAGGUGCGAAAAGUGUGGGGAGCAAACAGGAUUAGAUACCCUGGUAGUCCACACCGUAAAACGAUGAAUGCCAGUCGUCGGGUAGCAUGCUAUUCGGUGACACACCUAACGGAUUAAGCAUUCCGCCUGGGGAGUACGGUCGCAAGAUUAAAACUC
This 532-nucleotide ribosomal RNA is filed under the name uncultured bacterium. Its description in RNAcentral is "bacterial SSU rRNA". It matches the Rfam family "Bacterial small subunit ribosomal RNA", at positions 355 to 902 of the family's 1533-position model. The record is from RNAcentral.